Molecule: ribosomal RNA, 1056 nt
Filed under: Staphylococcus aureus
Lineage: Bacteria; Bacillati; Bacillota; Bacilli; Caryophanales; Staphylococcaceae
Description: partial 23S ribosomal RNA
Rfam family: Bacterial large subunit ribosomal RNA
Source: RNAcentral
GAGAAUGCCGGUGUGAGUAGCGAAAGACGGGUGAGAAUCCCGUCCACCGAUUGACUAAGGUUUCCAGAGGAAGGCUCGUCCGCUCUGGGUUAGUCGGGUCCUAAGCUGAGGCCGACAGGCGUAGGCGAUGGAUAACAGGUUGAUAUUCCUGUACCACCUAUAAUCGUUUUAAUCGAUGGGGGGACGCAGUAGGAUAGGCGAAGCGUGCGAUUGGAUUGCACGUCUAAGCAGUAAGGCUGAGUAUUAGGCAAAUCCGGUACUCGUUAAGGCUGAGCUGUGAUGGGGAGAAGACAUUGUGUCUUCGAGUCGUUGAUUUCACACUGCCGAGAAAAGCCUCUAGAUAGAAAAUAGGUGCCCGUACCGCAAACCGACACAGGUAGUCAAGAUGAGAAUUCUAAGGUGAGCGAGCGAACUCUCGUUAAGGAACUCGGCAAAAUGACCCCGUAACUUCGGGAGAAGGGGUGCUCUUUAGGGUUAACGCCCAGAAGAGCCGCAGUGAAUAGGCCCAAGCGACUGUUUAUCAAAAACACAGGUCUCUGCUAAACCGUAAGGUGAUGUAUAGGGGCUGACGCCUGCCCGGUGCUGGAAGGUUAAGAGGAGUGGUUAGCUUCUGCGAAGCUACGAAUCGAAGCCCCAGUAAACGGCGGCCGUAACUAUAACGGUCCUAAGGUAGCGAAAUUCCUUGUCGGGUAAGUUCCGACCCGCACGAAAGGCGUAACGAUUUGGGCACUGUCUCAACGAGAGACUCGGUGAAAUCAUAGUACCUGUGAAGAUGCAGGUUACCCGCGACAGGACGGAAAGACCCCGUGGAGCUUUACUGUAGCCUGAUAUUGAAAUUCGGCACAGCUUGUACAGGAUAGGUAGGAGCCUUUGAAACGUGAGCGCUAGCUUACGUGGAGGCGCUGGUGGGAUACUACCCUAGCUGUGUUGGCUUUCUAACCCGCACCACUUAUCGUGGUGGGAGACAGUGUCAGGCGGGCAGUUUGACUGGGGCGGUCGCCUCCUAAAAGGUAACGGAGGCGCUCAAAGGUUCCCUCAGAAUGGUUGGAAAUCAUU